GACGAACGCUGGCGGCGUGCCUAAUACAUGCAAGUCGAGCGGGGAUUAUGCUUGAUCGCUUCGGUGAGACGGCAUAUAUCCUAGCGGCGGACGGGUGAGUAACGCGUGGGUAAUCUACCUCGUAGUUCGGGAUAACAGGCCGAAAGGCUUGCUAAUACCGGAUGAGUUCAUGCUUAUGCAUAUAGGCAUGAAGAAAGGGCUAGCCCGCUAUGAGAUGAGCCCGCGUCCCAUUAGCUUGUUGGUGGGGUAAUGGCCUACCAAGGCAACGAUGGGUAGCCGGCCUGAGAGGGUGACCGGCCACACUGGGACUGAGACACGGCCCAGACUCCUACGGGAGGCAGCAGUGGGGAAUAUUGGACAAUGGGCGAAAGCCUGAUCCAGCGACGCCGCGUGAGGGAUGACGGCCUCGGUUGUAACCGUACUUUCUAGUAGGGACGAAGCGAAAGUAGACGGUACCGUACCAGAAGAAGGAACCGGACCGAACUAACCGUGCCAGCAGCCGCGGUAAACG
This 511-nucleotide ribosomal RNA is filed under the name uncultured bacterium. RNAcentral describes it as "bacterial SSU rRNA". It matches the Rfam family "Bacterial small subunit ribosomal RNA", at positions 28 to 527 of the family's 1533-position model. The record is from RNAcentral.